GAGAGAGCACAAGAAGAGAGGGAGGCACAGAAUCCGAAGCAGGCUCCAGGCUCUGAGCUGUCAGCACAGAGCCCGACGCGGGGCUCAGAACUCGCAAACGUCAAGAUCAGGCCCUGAGCCGAAGGUGGACGCUUCACCCGCUGAGCCACCCAGACGCCCUGGGAAUUUGCUGAAUUUUAUUGAGUGCUCCAGGUCAUUCCAAUGAUCGGGCAAGUUUGCAAACGCACAUCCCGGAGGCAGGGCAUCCCCUCUUUACCGAAAGAUCCCAGAGCUCUAGGAUGGGGCUUCACGACUGCCGCUGCCUCUAACCAGAAAACAACCCCCUGUGACAAGAAACUCAUCUUUACCUCGGGAAGCAAGACUGCUUCCUGCUAGGGCCCCAGAGAAACCAGCACUGCCAGCCCAGCAGCCUCACUGCCAGCCCGGGGGCCACGCAGCCAGCCAGACACUGGCAAGAGGAAGAGUUUGACUUCCCUUGUAGAAGGAAGUGGCUGAUCUGGGGCCUCCUCCCAACAUGUCCCCACCUGCCAACGUUUGGUCCACUCUGACCCUCCCUGGGGCAGUCAUGCCCCAGAAGGGACUCACACGGGGACAGCUGGCAAAGGCCGUUAACUCGGAGGAGCAAGGAUCACAUCCCCCGACUUCCCUUAACUUCCCAGUGGCAGCUAGCAAUCUAGGACUCAGUGAGGGGGGACGGGAGCAGAAUGUUUGGGAAGGAAAUGUCAGCCUCUCACAUGCAUGUCUUCUGCUGCAGUCAGGGAGCAGUGAGCUGGCUCACAGUGAGUUUGGGCUUCCCUGGAAGCUGCUUUCCACUUUUAGGAAUUCACUUGGGGCCCUCAGGCUCCUCACAGGAACCCCGAGAUGGACACGCUGAGGCCAGCUGGCUACCAUUAUUCCCACUUCUCAGAUGAGGCCAACUGAGACCCUGGGACAAACCUACCCCAAACACCCCCUCCAAAUGAUUACAGGCUGGUGGCAGCAGCCGCUACGAGGAAAGGCUUUGGAAUUUGACGCAAGACACUUAUUUUCUCAGAGGUUCAGACACUUUAGCGAUUGACCCAAAGCCCCAUAACCAUACAGGGUUAUGCAGAGCAGGGAUCGGCUGGAGGCUUCCCCGCCCUCAGCCCCAUUCUUCUAGCAUACCCAGUGCUUCCCCCAAGAGACUGGUAACUUACGUGACCAAAGGUCUUUGGAGAUCACUAAGAAGUCUUCAACUGCCCUACAGUCUCCCAAGAGAAAACAAGGUCUUGAUUUGGGUGAUCUUUAGACACUGCACUGGAAGCCUGAGUUAGUCAUACUUUCCAGUCACAGAGCUGAUCAUCUGCCUCCUGCCCAGAGUUGGGAGGGAAUCAUCCAUCCAGCUACGCUUUGAGAGGGCUCCCUCAAGGCCAGACCUUCGUCCACAUGCACAGUGAGGUCCAGAACAUACAACAGUGGGCUCCAUCCGCAGUAACUGGGGACCAGGGUCCUGGCUGGGUGAGCCCAUGACUCUCUUUUCCCUCUCUGAGCCCCAGUUCCUGUUAGAACGGGAAGACUGGACCUCAACAGUGGUUCUCAACCUUGGCCACACAUUGAGAUCAGUGGGAUCCCUGGAGAACCUUACCAAUACCAGUGCCUGAUUCUGGUUUAAGCAGUCUCGGGUACAGCCUGGGCAUUUGGGUUGUUAAAGGCUCCCAGGGGAUCCUAAUGUGCCGUGAACACUGCCAACCAUGAGAAGGAACCAUUAGCUUAGAAGCUCUCCAAGCCCUCUUCACCUCUGGAAUAUCUCAGAGUCCGAACUGACUGAGCGUAUUAACCUCCAACCCCCACUUGUUGGGAAGGGGUGUGCGUGAGUGUCAGGGAGAAGGCUGUUGGGAGCGGAGGGAUGUAGACUCAAUUUAUAUGAGAAAAAUGAGUGGAAAUCGAUUUUGUAAAAGAAUAAUCUAGCUUGACGUAAUAA
Long non-coding RNA from Panthera uncia (snow leopard), 1939 nucleotides. RefSeq lists it as uncharacterized. The transcript is spliced from 3 exons. Lineage: Eukaryota; Metazoa; Chordata; Mammalia; Carnivora; Felidae. The record is from RefSeq and is a predicted model, not a curated record.